RNAcentral lists this ribosomal RNA (253 nucleotides) under uncultured bacterium. Its description in RNAcentral is "partial 16S ribosomal RNA". It matches the Rfam family "Bacterial small subunit ribosomal RNA", at positions 524 to 776 of the family's 1533-position model. The record is from RNAcentral.
UACGAGGGGGGCAAAUGUUGUUCGGAAUCACUGGGCGUAAAGGGAGCGUAGGCGGGCUUUUAAGUUAGGUGUUUAAUCCCGGGGCCCAACCCCGGUCAUGCACCUAAAACUGGAAGUCUUGAAUAGUGGAGAGGUCAGUGGAAUUGGAGGUGUAGCGGUGGAAUGCGUAGAGAUCUCCAAGAACACCAGUUGCGAAGGCGGCUGACUGGACACAUAUUGACGCUGAGGCUCGAAAGCAUGGGGAGCAAACAGG